Molecule: RNA transcript, 4453 nt
Organism: Cyclopterus lumpus (lumpfish)
Lineage: Eukaryota; Metazoa; Chordata; Actinopteri; Perciformes; Cyclopteridae
Gene name: probable ATP-dependent RNA helicase DDX17
Exons: 11
Source: RefSeq, a predicted model, not a curated record
AGAUGCCUGUGCGCGAUUCUAACAACAAUACAGUAGCACAGCUUUUGCUGCUCUAGUAUUGUGCCAAUAUAACUAACGUUAAGUAUUAGUUGACUUAUUUGAUUAUUCAACAAGUAUUUAAGAAAGGGGCCCUUUCUUCACCCACACAGCGGUCCACGUUGACGUCAUUUGGCUGAAAUAACUGCGCUGGUUGUCCAGGCCUGUAACGGUAACGGGUCUAGAAAAGCGAAAGCCAGGCCACUUCUUCGAGAAAAGGGUCCACUGAGCCGAGGGUGCCAUUAAAUAACCGCUUCACCUCUCAUACAAGAGCGCGUGUGUCCUUAAAAUGAGAGGUUCGUACGGAGACAGAGACAGAGACCGUGUGCGUGACCGAGGCAGCACUCGCCUCGGGUCCAGCAGAGGCGGCCCACCACCGGGUAAAAAGUUUGGGAACCCCGGGGACCGUUUAAGGAAGAAGAGAUGGGACCUGGCGGAGCUUCCUAAAUUUGAGAAGAACUUUUACGUUGAACAUCCGGACCUGCAGCGAAUGAGCCAGGAUGACGUUGAGGAGCAUUGCAGGAAGAAAGAAAUCACUGUUCGAGGUUCAGGCUGCCCAAAGCCUGUCACCAACUUCCAUCAGGCACAGUUUCCCCAAUAUGUAUUGGAUGUCCUGAUGCAGCAGAAUUUCAAGGAGCCCACAGCCAUUCAGGCACAAGGUUUCCCUCUGGCCCUCAGUGGGAGAGACAUGGUGGGCAUUGCUCAGACUGGCUCUGGGAAGACCUUAUCGUACCUCCUGCCUUCCAUCGUGCACAUCAAUCAUCAGCCCUACCUGGAGCGUGGAGAUGGGCCCAUUGUACGUGCAGAGGAAAGGAAUGCACUAAUCCCUUAGUUGUCCACAUGAGAGUUUACAAAAAUUAUAUUGCAUGCUGUCUUAGCACAACAUCAACGUGUCUAAUGCACAAAAUGGGGUAUUGUUACGCCAUUAUGUGUGUGCUCUGCAGUGCUUGGUCCUGGCCCCCACAAGAGAACUGGCGCAGCAGGUCCAGCAGGUGGCAUGCGAUUACGUAAAGUCAUCCUGCAUCAAAAUCACCUGUGUGUAUGGGGGUGCUCCCAAGGGACCUCAAAUCAGAGACCUGGAGAGAGGUGUUGAGAUCUGCAUCGCCACACCAGGUCGUCUGAUUGACUUCCUUGAGGCUGGAAAGACCAACCUGCGACGCUGCACAUACUUGGUUCUGGAUGAAGCUGACCGCAUGCUGGAUAUGGGCUUUGAACCGCAGAUUCGCAAGAUUGUGGACCAGAUCAGGCCCGACAGGCAGACCCUGAUGUGGAGUGCUACUUGGCCCAAAGAGGUCCGCCAGCUGGCAGAGGACUUCCUGAAAGAUUAUGUCCAGAUCAAUGUCGGAGCUCUGGAACUCAGCGCCAACCACAACAUCCUUCAGAUAGUUGAUGUCUGUAUCGAGAGUGAGAAGGAACACAAGUUGAUCCAGCUGAUGGAGGAGAUCAUGGGUGAGAAAGAGAACAAGACCAUCAUCUUCGCGGAGACCAAGAAACGAUGCAACGAUCUCACACGCAGGAUGAGGCGUGAUGGGUGAAAAACGAUGAGAUCUAUUUAUUUAUUUAUAUAUUUUAGGAAUACAAUAGUGUUCUAUACAGUUUGCGUAACCAUUUUAAAUACGUCCUGUAUCUGACCCAGAAGUUUGUGGGUACAGGUGGGCACGCAUUUCCCUCUGGGGAUUGGGAAAUGUAAAACCAGUGCGAUAACGCCGGGUUAAAUCUACUGCACCUGGUCAUUUACGUCACAGCAUGCUUGUCUCUUUUCCAGGUGGCCAGCGAUGUGUAUUCAUGGCGACAAGAGCCAGCCAGAAAGAGACUGGGUGCUAUCUGAGUUCCGUAGCAGCAAAGCUCCCAUCCUCAUUGCUACUGACGUGGCCUCGCGUGGUUUGGUCUUCUCCGGCAACUAGAAGCACACAGGCCCUUGGGAGCCUGCAGCCGGACCUAGGCAUGACAAAAUGAAAGCUGACUCGGGGAGAGAGACGGCCUGAUUAAUCAGUCCCAGAGACAGCCAUCUCUGCUGAAAACCUAGAACAGAGCCCACAAACAAAACUCAUCACCCCCUUCCAGGACACUGGCUGCCUGGGCGACGGGGGGGCGGGUUUGCUGCUGGGCUUCCAAAUUUUGAUCUGAGAGUCGGGGGCGGCAGUCAGGUGAGAGGGCGGAGAGGGGGGGUAUGGAGGAGGGUGGAAGGCAAAGCCAAAGCCAGGCAUGGACGGCUAUGCUGGAGGCUCCCCUCUGAGCUGCCCCCUGAUGCCAGCCCCUGACACUGUGCCCGCCGGCCUCUCCCUCUGCGGACGUCAUGUCUGGUCCUGGCUGGCAGGAGUCCUGGUCUAGAGGAGCCACCGCUCUGUAAUCGAGGUCUCUGUCUCUGUCAUUUCCUCGCUUGGUUGUCACUUCUCUCCCUCUUUUGCUGAUUUCUUAAAUGUUUCCGUCAUUCUUUCAUUCAUCUCUUUACUCUACCUCUUUUUACCACCUAACGUCCUGAUUGUUUGUCCUGCUUUCAACCCCUCUUCGUCUUUAAGACUUCGGACAUUUAACUUUGUACACGUCAUACCGGACCACCGGUCCAGUCUGUUAAUAACUCGCCAGCUCUUGAUGACUGGCUAAAUCCCUCUAUAAGAACGAGUACAAAACCAUUUAAAAAAAAGAUUCCAACAAGAAAUUGACUUUCUCAUUGAUCAGAAAUCCCUUUAGACUACUGAAUAUGUCUUUUACACAAGGAUCGCCUGGAGGGUCACUUUUUACAAUUUCAUCUACUAUCGUCCAAAUUCUUCAGCAAACCACAAACCUUUUCAUCCCAUAAUUCAGUUGAUAUGUACCUUUGGCCACACAUGGCUUAUUUGCAUGUGUGCAAGUGCACUAAUUCAUUGCUAUGCUAGAUAAGUGAGCCCUGUGGUGUGAUUAGCGUGGUAAGUAAACUAGUUGACGAUUUAACAGGUAAGUGGGUGUAAGGAUGAUGGAUCUUGUAGGUAUUGUCUGUCUGAAUGAUCCCUUUUCAAAGGCACAAAACUUUAACUUCGUGAAUGGAGUAAAUUUCUCAACCGGUGUUAGUUUUGUCCUGACUUUGUGUUUGUGUCUUUUCCCAUCACACCACCACUUCUCCACAACUAUUGACCCAAAAUAAAGACGUGGAGGAUGUCAAAUUUGUCAUCAAUUAUGACUAUCCCAACUCAUCGGAGGACUACAUCCAUCGCAUCGGCCGUACAGCCCGCAGCAACAACAAAGGCACCGCCUACACCUUCUUCACCCCGGGGAACCUCCGCCAGGCCCGCGAGCUGAUCCGGGUGCUGGAGGAGGCCCGUCAGGCCAUCAAUCCCAAACUCCUGCAGCUGCUUGAUACUGGACGUGGAGGAGGUGGGCGUCCUCGUUUUCGCAGUGGCUCCAAUUCUAACAAUCCCAACCUGAUGUACCAGGAAGAGUGUGACGGGCGAAUGCGUUCUGUUGGUGGGAGCGGCAGCAGUGCCAAGGACGGCCGCGGCAGCAGCUACAGCCGCGACGGUCGAGAUGGCCGCAGAGGAAGCAGCCGGGACGGGGAACGCUCCUCCUCAUCUUCCUCCUCUGACAGAGAUCGCAGGGACGGAGGGCGCAGCUCCAGCUCCAACGACCAGUACCAGAAUAAUAGCAGUAGUCAGUACAGCAGCUCCAGGAGUGGCUCAGGGUCAGGGGGCACUGGAGUGGGGCAGACCCCACCCUGUUCUUUGUCGGGCCCCCAGACUCUAAUGGCCAAGCAGUUCAACCCUCCUCAGCCCAUGAUGGGCCUGAUGGGACACUCACCGUUCCAGUUUGUUUCCCCACUGCCUCCAUCAGGCAGAAAGUAAUGUAAUCUGUGAGUCGGUCGCACACACACAGUCACAAAAACAUUCGAUUUUGCAGGGGUUAAACCCUCGGCAGGGAAACACUGCAACAUAAUCAUUAGUUACGAGCUUGUUCGGGUCAAAUUCUGCAACAAAGACACAUUUAUUAUAUUCCCAGUUCAAGUGGUCAAUGUAUUCUAAGUCAAAUGAAUUAUUUAGUUUGACAGAAGCUUGUCUGUCAGUUGACUAAGUUUGUACAAACUUGCUGUAUUUGUACUGUGAGCUGACAUCUGAUUUUCCCCUUUUUAGGCAUAUACGGUAGGUGUUAAAGUAAAUUCUUGUACAGUUUCUUUUUUAGGUUCAUUCUCCUUUUUUGUUUUUAAAAUUUGCAAGCCACAAGAUCAGUUUGAAUAGAUUUAAUGAUAAUGGAGAUCCUGCUGUUGCUUGAGCAGUGAAUUUUGGCCUAAGAGGCAUAGAAAUGAACUUUUCUUUCACAUUUUCAAGUUUGUUUAGUUACAUUCUACCAUAGAUUCCCUUAUCACCAAUGUGGGUAUUUGCAGCAGUGAUGUUUGAGUUUCCUAGUAAAUACUAACCAUUUUUACGGUUUAAUAAAGCUCUUCAAUAAA